Molecule: non-coding RNA, 680 nt
Organism: Acanthopagrus latus (yellowfin seabream)
Lineage: Eukaryota; Metazoa; Chordata; Actinopteri; Spariformes; Sparidae
Source: the annotation of a RefSeq genome assembly
GAUUUACACCAUCUAUGAUCUUAAUGGAACAGAGGAACAUAUUUAUAUUAGAAGUGCAGUCGAGGAUUUAAGAUGAGUUUGUGUCCACUGUGGUUGCUGGCCCCAUGGUCAGGCCCUCCGUCUCUCUGCUUCCCCCCUCCUCUGAGCAGCUCUCCGGGGGCUCGGCCACGCUGGCCUGUCUGCUGACCGGCUACUCUCCUCAGGGAGCCGCGGUGCGCUGGGAGGUGGACGGUACGGAGGUGACAGAGGGGGUCCUGAGCAGCUCGGAGGAGGAGAGGAGCGGACGCUACAGCAGCAGCAGCACCCUGAGCCUGAGCAGGGAGCGCUGGAUGGAAGGAGAGCUGUACACCUGCAAGGUCCUCCAUCAUGACCACAGCCAGACCCAGUCCCUCCACAGGAGCCAGUGUAAGGCCUAGAGGGGCCGACUGAAGCCCAGGACAGGAGCUGUGUGUGGGAGGGAGCAGGAGGAACACACCUGCUGCUCUGAUCAGUCUGAGUCUGAAUGUUUGUAGAGGAAACUAAAGCUUUGUGUGACAGAGAACAACACUGCUGUAAAGUGUUGGACAGCAACAACUUAGAGAGUGAUGUGUGUAGCUCAGCAGCUUGAUGUCAGUGUGCUUAAUAACUGUCAUGAUGAUGAUUCAUGUUUCUGCCAAUAAAGCUUCAACUGAUAAAAAAGA